CACGAUAACCACCGUCUCCUAACUCAUUCAACCACCAAAUUUGGUGACUGCACCAGGAUUUUUUCUUGUUUUAAAGCCAACUUAAAAAACAAAUAUGGAUUUUUCAGAUGCCAUGGCUUCUGCACUGAAAGAAACGUGAACUGGGAGGAAAAGCACUGGGUGUCAUUGCGAGGCCGUGGCUCACUGCGUGAGGUCUGCCAGUGAAAUCGGCUUCUGUCUUUUUCCACCCCUGAGGGGUGUGGGCAGAGGCCACUCCGUGCCAGUUUUAGAAAGCCCUCGGCAGCUUCACGGUGCCCUGCUCGAGCUGGACGUGGACAAGGCCGUAGGACUCUCUCUCAGGAUGCGGGGAGGGAGGUGCUUCCUCCCGCUGAGCCUAGGGCGCCCCCUGGGGACCACAUGGAUGAAGGCCCAGCAGCUGGAGGCCGGCAGGCGGACAACCAAACCAGAUUCAGAAUGUCACCUCCAACAUGAACGUCACCUUCUCCUCCCGCCCUUCCCAUGGCGAUGCGUGGGUCAUAGACGGACCGCUGGCACAAGUCAUUCAGGACUCCCUCACCCAUCUCAUGGACAUCCUAAAAUAUCACAGAUACUCCCACAGAGCUUUGCCCAAGGCAGCUUACGAUCUCCAUGGCAACAGCCAUCCAUCUGCUUAACUUUUCUAGGAAGCAAGAAAAGCCAAAAGUCAGGAGAAUGAAGGAAACCACAACAACAACAACAACAAAAAAGCAAGAAAAAAUGUAACUAUCAGCUCUGAAAUUCACAAAGGAAUGAACAAACAUGUUUAACAGAUCAUGAAGCAAACCAACAGACCAUCAAUAUGUUAGUUAAUUAAUGCAUAACUAUUAAGUGCUGUGUGCACUCUGUAUUAGGGCUUCCCCUGGGCUCCUCAAACAGGCAUUUAGGAAUAUUCCACAGUUGUGCUGUGUUGGCUUUCCAUAGCAUCUUAGACACAGCCAAUAAAAGAAAUACAGGAAAGAGAGAACUAAGUAGAGAAUAAAUAGAAGAUUAAAUAAAAGGACCCGGAUGAAGAGAAUCUUUGAAAUACAUGAACCUUGACUAAUCAGUCCCUUGCAAAUUUCUAUCAAGGUCCUAGUAGAUGCUGUCAAUGGUAUGGCCUAUAAGCAGUUGAAUAGUAUCUUUCCAAACUCUGGGCUUCAGAUUUCUCAGCUGGAAAUUGGGGAUAAUAGUUGUACCUCCCUUGAAGUUUAUUGUGAAUGUCAAAUGAAAAAUAACAGUCCAAGCAUGCAGAAGAGCAUCUGGUGGGGUAACCAGGAAAUCAACAUUAAGGAAGGAGACAAAUCAUAAGUGCAUAGAAACCGAACAAUAAAGACAUCAAUAGAAGAGAUGUCAAAAUGGAGUGCAUUAUUAAUUGCCAAACAAGUGUUUCUCGCCCCUGAAUGUCAAAACUGAGGGCACAGAGCAAAGAGAGAGCCAAAAGAGUUUGGUUUCUCUCACUAGCCAAGCACCUGCCUUUUGCACGUGUCUGAGAAGCUGCAAACUGGGUCCCUCCAGAGAUACCAUGGAUCGUGAUGGGCUUUUUGGAAAGGACUUAGAGCUGACCCUUAGCAUGGAGGCGGUGCAGUGAGGUGCUGGAUCCUGCAGCCAUGGUGCCCGGACUGCCCAAGUUCAAAGCUCAGCAUGGACACUCACUACUUGUAGGCUCCCGGGAAAGUAGUCUCAGUUUCCUCCUAUGUAAAUGAAGAAUAAUAAUAGUACCUAUUUGGCAUGAGGAUUAAGUGAGAGAGUUCCUAUAGAAAGAGUACCCAGCAUACACGAGUUAGAGUGUGCCUCUACCUUGGAGGCUAAACCAGCUGCUUCUUCAAGACCUCCAAGCAAAGCAAUUCCACAACCUGCUCUAGUCUUCAUUCCUCCUGUUAGGAAAUCCUCCUUUUCUAAUAAUUGGAGAGGGCCAUUAAAGAUUUUAAUAAACCAACUCAUUCUCCACAUGAGGAAACUAAAACCAGGAAAGUGUAAGCGAUUUGACCAAAGUCAAGUGGUAGUUAGUGGCAGAGCUGGGGCUGGCUCCCAGUGGUCCUGAUACCCAGAUCCAUCCACUGCUGCCUUCUGUGGGCACUCUCAUUCUGUGCUCAUUGGCAUGGGGGCCCUUUGGUUCACGUAAUUCCAAACUCUUAGGCAGGGCAGUCCAGGCUCUCUAUGGUCUGCCCCUCACUGGGUUCCCAACACACAGUAUCUUCUUCCCCAUUUGGGCUCUGGACAAAUUGCAAAAUAAAACAAAUAGUGCAAACAUGGCCUGAGAAUCACCUUUAUUGCUGAUAAAGGUGAAGCUGGAGAACCCAGCUUAGUAUGAGAGCUGGUGGGCCUACCAGCUGAUCCCCAGAUUGGGCAAACUCCCCCACAGAGCCCCAGGCAUGUGGACUGCGACAGGGAGGAUCAGAUUUCCAUGUGGCAGACAAUCAUGGUCUCAUGAGGAAAGAGGACAAGUCUAAGCAACAUAUGCCUAAGUCUUCUUCCCUAACUUAUCAACCAGAGAAGUCACAAGCAGGAGAGGAGUCAGGAGUGUACAUAGGCAAACUCCCUUUCUUAGAAACCAAGGGUGGAAAAGUCUUCCUUUCUAGCCUCACCUCUUUCCAACCACCUCCCUCUUGCUCCCUACUCUCUGGCCCUACAAACCAACGUAGCCGUUAGCCGCACUCUGUUCCAGGUUCUGCCCACGCUCUUCCUGUUCAACAGAGGGCCUGUGCCCUCUGGAUCCCUUUGGGUCAAGUACCCACUCAUCUUUCAAGACCCUGUCCAUGCUUCCCUCUCUAAAGAUGGCCUUCCUUCCUGUUCUCAGGUCCACCCUCAACUCCCCGUGGUUCGUUGUGUCCCCAUUGUGUUCAGUACAGACGUUCAGCCCUUUCAGCAUUUAAUUCCACUUACUGCCCUACAGGCAAAGGCUACAUCAUACUCAUCUUAUGUUCCAAGCUUUGAACAUGGUAGGUCUUUUCGAUAACUUUUGGUUGAAUAAAUGGUG
Long non-coding RNA from Pipistrellus kuhlii (Kuhl's pipistrelle), 2974 nucleotides. RefSeq lists it as uncharacterized. The transcript has 3 exons. NCBI's taxonomy places the organism in Eukaryota, Metazoa, Chordata, Mammalia, Chiroptera, Vespertilionidae. The record is from RefSeq and is a predicted model, not a curated record.